AUAUUCAUUUAUUUAGCAGGCUAAUGACAUUUAUUUAGCAGGGUAAUCAUCCUUUCCAUUAUGAAUAUCACAUGUUAUUAACAAGGGCUAUGUUCAGUUCUAUAUAACUAUUCAAACAUUAAACAGGCUAAUCAUAUGUUUCUAUAAAUCGUUUUGUUAUAUAAGUUCACAAACGAGCAUUAUACAUGCAUAACUGAUCAAUUUUCCCUUACGAACAUCAAAUGCGAUUGACAAGGGCUAAGUCCAGUUUGACAAUUUCAUUCAAACCCUUUAGCAGGCUAAUUACAUAAUUUUAUAUUUAGUUGGUUAAAUACAAACAUAAACACAUAGUAUCCUGACAGUUCC
Molecule: long non-coding RNA, 345 nt
Filed under: Brassica napus (rape)
Lineage: Eukaryota; Viridiplantae; Streptophyta; Magnoliopsida; Brassicales; Brassicaceae
Description: long non-coding RNA (BNAP_LNC017495)
Source: RNAcentral